UUGGUUUCUCAAUUCACCAACUGGCGCCGUCUGUGGGAAAAUAGAGCUAAGGCGUGAGAUUAAUCAAUUUUCCGGUUACUGUUCAUCAAAAAAAUGGGGAAAUUGGGGAACCAGAUCACUGUUCAUCGAAGAGGGGUUCGGUGGGAUUGGGGGCUAGAUCACUGUUCACCGAAAAGAAAAAAUGAAGAAAAAAUAGGAAGAAAACGAGCCGAGCAAAGGCAUUCUGGCGAGAAUCAGUCAGAUCCCUAAUUUGGGACCCAAUGAACAUCACCUUUCGAUUUUUGGGAAAAUCUCCAGUUCUCAGCAAAUUCCAAAAUAAAAGAAGAGCCAUAAGGAUAUUCGCAAAGCCAGUGCCCUAAGCCGCUUCUGCAUCAAACGUCGUUAGGAUGUUGCGCACAACCGCCGCGCGGGAGUCUCUCGCACCACCGGUCAAGGCCAGGGCUGGUCCGCGCCGCCACGCCAUCGCCGGUGUCCGGGAUCACGAUGUGCGAGAACCCUGCCUCCUCCACUUCCAUUCCGUCAGUCUAGGGCAGAGGAGACCUCCGAUGGGGGCUUUGACUUGGGAGACAAAAUUGGCCAUCUCCCAGAGGUAGAGGCCGAUACAGGGAAAGGACUAGAGUUUCCGGCUGGAUUGGAGGGGGUAAUCACCAGCGAUUUCUGGCUGCUCGAUGAAUUUCGGAUGAUUGCCACAAAGAUAUUUUCGUUUUUAGGGACUUCUAUUUAAUUCAGCUAAGUUCAUUUCUACACUUUCCUCCACCAAAUUGGGGUUCAGAUUUUAUUUUUGGGCAUAUGAACUUACUAACAGUGUAUAGCUCUGUGUUAUGAAGGGGCUGUUGUUUACUCGUAAAGUUUAUCACUCUGGUUUUAUACGUUUGGUCUCUGCGCUGCUAUUUCUAUAUUGACAUUUAUAUCAACGUGGCUGAUUUGCCGACAUUAUUUGAAUUAGUUAAUGGGAGAUUAAAUAAGAUAGGUAUUGAUUUGCUGUGACUGAGGGAUUAAGCCCCUAAACUCCUACUUCUUCUGUGAAAUUCAAUGAUUAUUGGAUGUUUAAAUAAGUCUUUCGUGAUAUUGCAGUAGAGGUUUCAUGUUAAUAUUUGUUGGGAUUAUCCACUGGGCAUUGCAUUGGAACUUUAAUAACUACAUUUGGGAUUGCGCUAUUAUUUCAUACUUUAUCUGUGAAUUCAGUAAAGUUAGGAAGGAACCGAUUAAGGAUCAAGUCCUCUUCGAAUGUUGGUCUUAUGCUCAGCUCAUGAUGGUUGACCACUGAUUAUCUCUAUUUGUGUCGGAUUAAGAAUCAUAUGUCCUUGAAUAUAUGUGGCAAUUGAGUGAUUGUUUAGCAUUAACCAUGCUCUCCUAAUUUGUUUAUUUGUUCGUUUGGGGGCAGAGGGAACUCAAAUCAAGGGAUAUAGACAAUAUAGAUGAUGAACUUUAAUGCUCGACUUAUCCAGGGAAGAAUACAAUCCGUUGUUGAUGAUGAAUGGGCAACUUGUCAUAUUGAUCUAUUUUGAUCAAAUGAUGAUAUGUAUGAUGUACAAAAUGGGAAUAAUUCUUAGGGUCAACUAUAAUCCACUGAAUUCAUGUGUCUCUAAUCUUUCCCUUGGAUAUUGGGCCUACUUUUUGUGGAAAAAUCAUAGGCACCGAUAUAUAUGCAUGAAUAUGUGUGUUUAUGGGCUUAUAUUUGCGUGCAUAUUUGGGCAAGUGAUUGCUUGUUUUAUGAUUUUUGUUUCCUGAUGCUUUGCUGAGAAAAGAAAUGGGAGAGUUGUUCUACCCUGGCUGGUUUGAAUCGAGUAAUGUGAGGGCAAAACAUGGAACGAAAUGCAUUUCUGGAAAGUCUUCAUUAUACUUAAUUUUCUGUGGGAUUAUGUUUAUUUACAUUACUGCUCUUGAGAUCUGAAUUUGCAGUUUACAUAUCAACCUUGAUGUUUUUUCUGUGGUGUCUGCGCAAGGAUUAUAUCUGCAUAUAUGUACAGGUGUAUGGGCACCGAGAUGCCAAAUAUGAUGGGUUUGACAAAAUGUGUUAUACUUUGAUCAUGUAGCGAUUGACUUUUUUAAGUUUAUCAUUUGCCCUGUGCUGAUUCUUGGGAUUUUUGAGCUUGUUAUUGUUGUGAUUUUACUUUAUUGGUAAGCUAUGAUGCUAUUAUGGUUUUUGGGACUUGAUAUUGUUGAGAUAUAACUCUGAACUUGGGAGUGAUUUAGCUAUGAUUGUUGCUCUGAUUUUGGGGAUUAAUUCUGUCAUUUUGUUGGACUAACUUAGCCCUGAUUUCGCAUUGUGAGUUCAGGACCACCAAGACGGGUAUUUCAACAUUUGCUCGCUGUUGAGAACACUACGAUUGCCUAGCUGAGCCAAAUAUGGUUUAUUCAUGGGAGCUCUUGACAAAAGGGGACAAAUGACAGCUCCGCUAGUUACUUGCUCGGGUCCUAAGCUCAACUUUUGGGGAAUGUUAUAGCGUCAAGACAGGGCUGCUGAACAUACUCACAAAAAAGAGACUAAUCGUGAUAUGGGUUUUUGGGUUAAAGACAUUAUUGAAUUCGUGGUUUCAUAUCAUAUGCACUGACAAAUAAUUAUUGUUUAUCCAUUAUACUUUCUCUUUGAGAAUCGUGAUUUCAGGAUUGUGAAUUUCAGCCAUUGGGACACAAAUAUUCUAAUUUAUGUGUCAUUUUUGGGGAUUCUCACAACUUUUAUUCGGUGGAAUAAAUGUUUAGGGCGGCACUGUUGCUUGGGAAAAGCAAAGCGUACACUUUUUUACUUGUUAAUUGAUUUACAGCCCUAUCUCUAAGGGCUCUCAUAUUUUACUAAUAUAUAUGUGCUUAAGAAUUUUUGUAGCACAGGAUAAACAAAUUUGGGGAAUGAUUUGAACAAUUAUGGUAAAUACCAUAAUGUAAAACAGGGUAACCCACUAGUAAGUGGUAAUUCAGGUAUUUCGCUGAACUCUAUCAAUGGGAGGAGCAUGAUUGGGAUAUGUGAUAUUUUAUCACUUGGGCAAAAUCAUGAUUUAUAUGAUCUUUGAUGGGAUUUGAAAAUUUGAAUGAAUUCAUCGGUAUAUGAAUAUGGGAAUCAAGUUGUGGCAAUGGAUUAUAUAAUCUAGGGUUCGAAUUCUCUUUGCAGCCCUGUCUUAAAGGGGCUUUCAUAUUUAUACUAAUAUCUGUGCCUAAGAGAUCUUGUAGCACAGGGCAAUUAAAUUUG
This 3184-nucleotide long non-coding RNA is filed under the name Salvia miltiorrhiza (redroot sage). Its description in RNAcentral is "long non-coding RNA (SMIL_LNC012364)". Lineage: Eukaryota; Viridiplantae; Streptophyta; Magnoliopsida; Lamiales; Lamiaceae. The record is from RNAcentral.